RNAcentral lists this ribosomal RNA (301 nucleotides) under uncultured bacterium. RNAcentral describes it as "partial 16S ribosomal RNA". It matches the Rfam family "Bacterial small subunit ribosomal RNA", at positions 509 to 807 of the family's 1533-position model. The record is from RNAcentral.
CAGCCGCCACGGUAAUGCAGAGGGUGCAAGCGUUAAUCGGAUUUACUAGGCGUAAAGGGCGCGUAGGUGGUUAUGUAAGUGAGAUGUGAAAUCCCCGGGCUCAACCUGGGAACUGCAUCUUAUACUGCGUAGCUGGAGUGCAGUAGAGGGUAGUGGAAUUUCCGGUGUAGCGGUGAAAUGCGUAGAUAUCGGAAGGAACACCAGUGGCGAAGGCGGCUACCUGGACUGACACUGACGCUGAGGCGCGAAAGCGUGGGGAGCAAACAGGAUUAGAUACCCCAGUAGUCCCUGUCUCUUAUAC